UACAGAGGUCCCGAGCGUUGUUCGGAUUCAUUGGGCGUAAAGGGUGCGUAGGUGGCGCGGUAAGUCGGGUGUGAAAUUUCGGAGCUUAACUCCGAAACUGCAUUCGAUACUGCCGUGCUUGAGGACUGGAGAGGAGACUGGAAUUUACGGUGUAGCAGUGAAAUGCGUAGAGAUCGUAAGGAAGACCAGUGGCGAAGGCGGGUCUCUGGACAGUUCCUGACACUGAGGCACGAAGGCCAGGGGAGCAAACGGG
RNAcentral lists this ribosomal RNA (253 nucleotides) under uncultured bacterium. RNAcentral's name for it is "partial 16S ribosomal RNA". It matches the Rfam family "Bacterial small subunit ribosomal RNA", at positions 524 to 776 of the family's 1533-position model. The record is from RNAcentral.